This 497-nucleotide ribosomal RNA is filed under the name uncultured bacterium. RNAcentral's name for it is "partial 16S ribosomal RNA". It matches the Rfam family "Bacterial small subunit ribosomal RNA", at positions 28 to 507 of the family's 1533-position model. The record is from RNAcentral.
GAUGAACGCUGGCGGCGUGCCUAAUACAUGCAAGUCGAGCGAACGGACGAGAAGCUUGCUUCUCUGAUGUUAGCUGCGGACGGGUGAGUAACACGUGGAUAACCUACCUAUAAGACUGGGAUAACUUCGGGAAACCGGAGCUAAUACCGGAUAAUAUUUUGAACCGCAUGGUUCAAAAGUGAAAGACGGUCUUGCUGUCACUUAUAUAUUGAUCCGCGCUGCAUUAGCUAGUUGGUAAGGUAACGGCUUACCAAGGCAACGAUGCAUAGCCGACCUGAGAGGGUGAUCGGCCACACUGGAACUGAGACACGGUCCAGACUCCUACGGGAGGCAGCAGUAGGGAAUCUUCCGCAAUGGGCGAAAGCCUGACGGAGCAACGCCGCGUGAGUGAUGAAGGUCUUCGGAUCGUAAAACUCUGCUAUUAGGGAAGAACAUAUGUGUAAGUAACUGUGCACAUCUUGACGGUACCUAAUCAGAAAGCCACGGCUAACUACGUG